This 1247-nucleotide ribosomal RNA is filed under the name Staphylococcus aureus DAR1814. RNAcentral's name for it is "bacterial SSU rRNA". It matches the Rfam family "Bacterial small subunit ribosomal RNA", at positions 8 to 1236 of the family's 1533-position model. The record is from RNAcentral. Lineage: Bacteria; Bacillati; Bacillota; Bacilli; Caryophanales; Staphylococcaceae.
AGAGUUUGAUCCUGGCUCAGGAUGAACGCUGGCGGCGUGCCUAAUACAUGCAAGUCGAGCGAACGGACGAGAAGCUUGCUUCUCUGAUGUUAGCGGCGGACGGGUGAGUAACACGUGGAUAACCUACCUAUAAGACUGGGAUAACUUCGGGAAACCGGAGCUAAUACCGGAUAAUAUUUUGAACCGCAUGGUUCAAAAGUGAAAGACGGUCUUGCUGUCACUUAUAGAUGGAUCCGCGCUGCAUUAGCUAGUUGGUAAGGUAACGGCUUACCAAGGCAACGAUGCAUAGCCGACCUGAGAGGGUGAUCGGCCACACUGGAACUGAGACACGGUCCAGACUCCUACGGGAGGCAGCAGUAGGGAAUCUUCCGCAAUGGGCGAAAGCCUGACGGAGCAACGCCGCGUGAGUGAUGAAGGUCUUCGGAUCGUAAAACUCUGUUAUUAGGGAAGAACAUAUGUGUAAGUAACUGUGCACAUCUUGACGGUACCUAAUCAGAAAGCCACGGCUAACUACGUGCCAGCAGCCGCGGUAAUACGUAGGUGGCAAGCGUUAUCCGGAAUUAUUGGGCGUAAAGCGCGCGUAGGCGGUUUUUUAAGUCUGAUGUGAAAGCCCACGGCUCAACCGUGGAGGGUCAUUGGAAACUGGAAAACUUGAGUGCAGAAGAGGAAAGUGGAAUUCCAUGUGUAGCGGUGAAAUGCGCAGAGAUAUGGAGGAACACCAGUGGCGAAGGCGACUUUCUGGUCUGUAACUGACGCUGAUGUGCGAAAGCGUGGGGAUCAAACAGGAUUAGAUACCCUGGUAGUCCACGCCGUAAACGAUGAGUGCUAAGUGUUAGGGGGUUUCCGCCCCUUAGUGCUGCAGCUAACGCAUUAAGCACUCCGCCUGGGGAGUACGACCGCAAGGUUGAAACUCAAAGGAAUUGACGGGGACCCGCACAAGCGGUGGAGCAUGUGGUUUAAUUCGAAGCAACGCGAAGAACCUUACCAAAUCUUGACAUCCUUUGACAACUCUAGAGAUAGAGCCUUCCUCUUCGGGGGACAAAGUGACAGGUGGUGCAUGGUUGUCGUCAGCUCGUGUCGUGAGAUGUUGGGUUAAGUCCCGCAACGAGCGCAACCCUUAAGCUUAGUUGCCAUCAUUAAGUUGGGCACUCUAAGUUGACUGCCGGUGACAAACCGGAGGAAGGUGGGGAUGACGUCAAAUCAUCAUGCCCCUUAUGAUUUGGGCUACACACGUGCUACAAUGGACA